This 470-nucleotide ribosomal RNA is filed under the name Streptomyces sp. RNAcentral's name for it is "bacterial SSU rRNA". It matches the Rfam family "Bacterial small subunit ribosomal RNA", at positions 23 to 510 of the family's 1533-position model. The record is from RNAcentral. Lineage: Bacteria; Bacillati; Actinomycetota; Actinomycetes; Kitasatosporales; Streptomycetaceae.
CUCAGGACGAACGCUGGCGGCGUGCUUAACACAUGCAAGUCGAACGAUGAAGCCCUUCGGGGUGGAUUAGUGGCGAACGGGUGAGUAACACGUGGGCAAUCUGCCCUUCACUCUGGGACAAGCCCUGGAAACGGGGUCUAAUACCGGAUAACACUCCUGCUCUCAUGGGCAGGGGUUGAAAGCUCCGGCGGUGAAGGAUGAGCCCGCGGCCUAUCAGCUUGUUGGUGAGGUAAUGGCUCACCAAGGCGACGACGGGUAGCCGGCCUGAGAGGGCGACCGGCCACACUGGGACUGAGACACGGCCCAGACUCCUACGGGAGGCAGCAGUGGGGAAUAUUGCACAAUGGGCGAAAGCCUGAUGCAGCGACGCCGCGUGAGGGAUGACGGCCUUCGGGUUGUAAACCUCUUUCAGCAGGGAAGAAGCGAAAGUGACGGUACCUGCAGAAGAAGCGCCGGCUAACUACGUGCCA